RNAcentral lists this ribosomal RNA (253 nucleotides) under uncultured bacterium. RNAcentral's name for it is "partial 16S ribosomal RNA". It matches the Rfam family "Bacterial small subunit ribosomal RNA", at positions 524 to 776 of the family's 1533-position model. The record is from RNAcentral.
UACGGGGGGGGCAAGCGUUGUUCGGAAUUACUGGGCGUAAAGGGCUCGUAGGCGGCCAACUAAGUCCGACGUGAAAUCCCCAGGCUUAACCUGGGAACUGCGUCUGAUACUGGAUGGCUUGAAUCCGGGAGAGGGAUGCAGAAUUCCAGGUGUAGCGGUGAAAUGCGUAGAUAUCUGGAGGAAUACCGGUGGCGAAGGCGGCAUCCUGGACCGGCAUUGACGCUGAGGAGCGAAAGCUAGGGGAGCAAACGGG